AGCGAACGCUGGCGGCAGGCUUAACACAUGCAAGUCGAACGGUCCUUCGGGAUAGUGGCGGACGGGUGAGUAACACGUGGGAACGUACCCUUAGGUUCGGAACAACACAGGGAAACUUGUGCUAAUACCGGAUAAGCCCUUCGGGGGAAAGAUUUAUCGCCUUUGGAGCGGCCCGCGUCUGAUUAGCUUGUUGGUGAGGUAAUGGCUCACCAAGGCUACGAUCAGUAGCUGGUCUGAGAGGAUGGCCAGCCACACUGGGACUGGGACACGGCCCAGACUCCUACGGGAGGCAGCAGUGGGGAAUCUUGCGCAAUGGGCGAAAGCCUGACGCAGCCAUGCCGCGUGGAUGAUGGAGGUCUAGGAUUGUAAAAUCCUUUCACCGGGGACGAUAAUGACGGUACCCGGAGAAGAAGCCCCGGCUAACUUCGUGCCAGCCGCCGCUGUAA
RNAcentral lists this ribosomal RNA (446 nucleotides) under uncultured bacterium. RNAcentral describes it as "partial 16S ribosomal RNA". It matches the Rfam family "Bacterial small subunit ribosomal RNA", at positions 29 to 523 of the family's 1533-position model. The record is from RNAcentral.